GUUCGCUCAUGCGGCUGAAGCCGGUCGUGAAGAUGUUUCCAUCAGCAAGGAAAAUGGCUCGCAUGGGCCGGGCUCCCUCGUGGGUUUUCUCUUUCUCAGCGAUGAUUUCUUGUUUCCUGGGGUCAAUGAUUCGAACUUUUUUGUCUUUGGAAGCUGUACAGAUUAGGCUGCCAUUGCGAUUCCAGCUCACAUUGUAGAUCACAUCCACGUGCAUGUCAUCUAGGUUGAUGAGGGCUUCACCUGUCCCCACGUUCCAG
RNAcentral lists this long non-coding RNA (257 nucleotides) under Gallus gallus (chicken). Lineage: Eukaryota; Metazoa; Chordata; Aves; Galliformes; Phasianidae. The record is from RNAcentral.